RNAcentral lists this ribosomal RNA (404 nucleotides) under uncultured bacterium. RNAcentral describes it as "partial 16S ribosomal RNA". It matches the Rfam family "Bacterial small subunit ribosomal RNA", at positions 30 to 526 of the family's 1533-position model. The record is from RNAcentral.
AUUGAACGCUGGCGGCAGGCCUAACACAUGCAAUCGGGCGAGCGGCGGAAGGGUAAGAAUGUAUGGGGAUAUGCCAGAUGGAGGGGGAUAACUACUGGAAACGGUAGCUAAUACCGCAUACCCUCAGAUGAACCCAUAGGGGAUUCUCUUGUAGGUGAGGUAACGGCUCACCUAGGCGCCGAUCCCUAGCUGGUCUGAGAGGAUGAUCAGCCACACUGGGACUGCGACACGGCCCAGAAUCCUACGGGAGGCAGCAGUGGGGAAUAUUGCACAAUGGGCGCAAGCCUGAUGCAGCCAUGCCGCGUGUAUGAAGAAGGCCUUGGGGUUGUAAAGUACUUUCAGUCGGGAGGCGUUACUGACAGAAGAAGCACCGGCUAACUCCGUGCCAGCCGCAGCGGUAAUAC